CCAGACUCCUACGGGAGGCAGCAGUGAGGAAUAUUGGUCAAUGGGCGUAAGCCUGAACCAGCCAAGUCGCGUGAGGGAUGAAGGAUCUAUGGUUCGUAAACCUCUUUUAUAAGGGAAUAAAGUGCGGGACGCGUCCCGCUUCGCAUGUACCUUAUGAAUAAGGAUCGGCUAACUCCGUGCCAGCAGCCGCGGUAAUACGGAGGAUGCGAGCGUUAUCCGGAUUUAUUGGGUUUAAAGGGUGCGCAGGCGGCGAGUUAAGUCAGCGGUAAAAUUUCGGGGCUCAACCCCGACAAGCCGUUGAAACUGGCUUGCUAGAGUGGGCGAGAAGUAUGCGGAAUGCGUGGUGUAGCGGUGAAAUGCAUAGAUAUCGCGCAGAACUCCGAUUGCGAAGGCAGCAUGCCGGCUCCACACUGACGCUGAGGCACGAAAGCGUGGGUAUCGAACAGGAUUAGAUACCCCAGUAAC
RNAcentral lists this ribosomal RNA (465 nucleotides) under uncultured bacterium. RNAcentral describes it as "bacterial SSU rRNA". It matches the Rfam family "Bacterial small subunit ribosomal RNA", at positions 331 to 795 of the family's 1533-position model. The record is from RNAcentral.